GACGAACGCUGGCGGCGUGCUUAACACAUGCAAGUCGAACGGAAAGGCCCUGCUUUUGUGGGGUGCUCGAGUGGCGAACGGGUGAGUAACACGUGAGUAACCUGCCCUUGACUUUGGGAUAACUUCAGGAAACUGGGGCUAAUACCGGAUAGGAGCUCCUGCUGCAUGGUGGGGGUUGGAAAGUUUCGGCGGUUGGGGAUGGACUCGCGGCUUAUCAGCUUGUUGGUGGGGGAGUGGCUUACCAAGGCUUUGACGGGUAGCCGGCCUGAGAGGGUGACCGGCCACAUUGGGACUGAGGUACGGCCCAGACUCCUACGGGGGGCAGCAGUGGGGAAUAUUGCACAAUGGGCGGGAGCCUGAUGCAGCAACGCCGCGUGCGGGAUGACGGCCUUCGGGUUGUAAACCGCUUUCGCCUGUGACGAAGCGUGAGUGACGGUAAUGGGUAAAGAAGCACCGGCUAACUACGUG
Molecule: ribosomal RNA, 468 nt
Filed under: uncultured bacterium
Lineage: Bacteria
Description: partial 16S ribosomal RNA
Rfam family: Bacterial small subunit ribosomal RNA
Source: RNAcentral